AGCGCUCACGCCAGCAGAGGAAGCCACAACGCCGCCCUGCGGCUCUGGCAGAGCCGACUGAUCGAGCGCAACGUGAAGGAGAUGCAGAAUGUGCCCUGCAGUGGACAACGUGCGCGCCAGCUUCGGAAUUGUAACCUUUCGCUGGAAAGAUCUGACGUGGAGAAAACCAAACGACAAAGCGAUCCUCAGAAAAGGUGAGUGUCGGAAACGCUAAUUACAUAAUUUGUCGACUUUGCGCCGCCACACAAGUAUGCCUCUCCCUGAAAUUUCCCAAUUGUCCACGCAUCCUAUGACAUGAGUUUAAGCCUAUGCAUGCGCCCGAGUAUUUCUGAAGCCUGCUUCUUAACGCCUAUAAGUUUAUAACUCAUUGUGGAUUGCACGAAGUGUUAUUUAAGUAAACGGUGGCGACAUUCUACAUCAUAAUUACUGCGCAAUGACAAGUACGUAGCACACCACGCUUCUUAUACAACGCAUCCAGUUUUUGGCAGCACAAGAUAAAAAAAAAACUUUCACGUCAUUGCCGAAAACUCAAGUGGAAAUUUUUUUUCUUUAUUUUUCCAUGGCUUUGGACCAGUCAGGGUUAAACACGGUGGCUCACUCGCUUCAUUCUUUUUUUUUUUUUUCGUCUCCUGCGUGCGAGUGAGCCUUUCCACCGACACCCAAGACUGAAUCGAGUUACACUCGGCUGAACACACACACACACACGAAAAAAAAAAUGAAAAACAAAUGUGGCCUUUUAAGUGUAGGCAGACGCGAAAUUGGAUUUGAGAAGGCACCUUGAUUAACGGCUGCGCACAUUUUCUUCGCCCGUGCGGAAACACAAUGCUACGCGUAUCCUUUAAUUAAAGCGCGCUAGGUGGCGUGCGCCGAAAAAUCGUGAGCUCUGUUCGAGAGACGAAUUGUUUUCCCUGCGGGUUGCGAGUGACCUUCCGGGCAAGCGCGUUCGCACGCUACGGGUAUGGCGUCGCCUUCCCAUGUGAUCUGAAAUGAGGCGAGACCGAUUGUUCCGGUUUGUCUACCCGCUCGAUUAAAUCGGUGCAGC
This is a long non-coding RNA of Dermacentor andersoni, 1042 nucleotides long. RefSeq lists it as uncharacterized. Lineage: Eukaryota; Metazoa; Arthropoda; Arachnida; Ixodida; Ixodidae. The record is from RefSeq and is a predicted model, not a curated record.